GACGAACGCUGGCGGCGUGCUUAACACAUGCAAGUCGAACGAAGAGCGAUGGAAGCUUGCUUCUAUCAAUCUUAGUGGCGAACAGGUGAGUAACGCGUAAUCAACCUGCCCUUCAGAGGGGGACAACAGUUGGAAACGACUGCUAAUACCGCAUACGAUCUAAUCUCGGCAUCGAGGAUAGAUGAAAGGUGGCCUCUACAUGUAAGCUAUCACUGAAGGAGGGGAUUGCGUCUGAUUAGCUAGUUGGAGGGGUAACGGCCCACCAAGGCGAUGAUCAGUAGCCGGUCUGAGAGGAUGCACGGCCACAUUGGGACUGAGACACGGCCCAGACUCCUACGGGAGGCAGCAGUGGGGAAUCUUCCGCAAUGGACGAAAGUCUGACGGAGCAACGCCGCGUGAGUGAUGACGGCCUUCGGGUUGUAAAGCUCUGUUAAUCGGGACGAAAGGCCUUCUUGCGAACAGUUAGAAGGAUUGACGGUACCGGAAGAGAAAGCCACGGCUAACUACGUG
RNAcentral lists this ribosomal RNA (510 nucleotides) under uncultured bacterium. RNAcentral's name for it is "partial 16S ribosomal RNA". It matches the Rfam family "Bacterial small subunit ribosomal RNA", at positions 28 to 507 of the family's 1533-position model. The record is from RNAcentral.